Molecule: ribosomal RNA, 630 nt
Filed under: uncultured bacterium
Lineage: Bacteria
Description: bacterial SSU rRNA
Rfam family: Bacterial small subunit ribosomal RNA
Source: RNAcentral
CUGGGCUUAAGCGUGUGUAGGCGGAGUUCUAAGUACCUUGUGAAAUCCCACCGCUCACCGGUGGAACUGCUGGGUAUACUGGAUCUCUUGAGCCACUUAGGGGCUACCGGAACAAAUGGUGGAGCGGUGAAAUGCGUAGAUAUCAUUUGGAACGCCAAUGGUGAAAACAGGUAGCUGGGAGUGUGCUGACGCUGAGACACGAAAGCCAGGGGAGCGAACGGGAUUAGAUACCCCGGUAGUCCUGGCCCUAAACGAUGUCGACUAGAUCGUGGUAGCUCUGACGCUUUCACGGUCGAAGCAAAAGUGCUAAGUCGACCGCCUGGGAAGUACGGUCGCAAGGCUAAAACUCAAAGGAAUUGACGGGGGCUCACACAAGCGGUGGAGCAUGUGGUUCAAUUCGAAGCAACGCGCAGAACCUUACCUGGGCUUGACAUGCUAGGAUUAUCUCGAUGAAAGUCGAGUAGGCCCCGCAAGGGGUACAACUAGUACAGGUGCUGCAUGGCUGUCGUCAGCUCGUGUCGUGAGAUGUCGGGUUAAGUCCCUUAACGAGCGAAACCUUUGCCCUUAGUUACCAUCGGGUUAUGCCGGGGACUCUAAGGGGACUGCCGGUGUCAAACCGGAGGAAGGUGG